GUUACGUGGUUUUUGAAGAGCGCUCUCAGAAGACGACCGACAGCGCUUGGAAAGGCAGAAGGCAGAAAGGGCAAGAACUGUGCAAUUUUGAAGGGCCAAGACCAUUUUGGAUUUCAGCCAGUGCCACCUUCACGCAAUCUCAGCACCCUAUUCCCACACAGCACAGUACAGUACAUGGACCUCAACAUUUCAAGUACCUUGGGACAAGACCAGGCCAAGUCUAAGAACAUGCAUUGAACAUGGGCAAACCCCACAAGAGACAGACAGGCGACAUAUGGUCAGAGUCAUUGUAGAUGCCAUUAGAGAAAUGUGUUUGAAUCCCACUCUGAGUCAGUGUGCUGUAGUUGCAAAGAGCAUCAUUGAACAAUACCCUAACAGUUUUGAAGACAGAACAGACGGAGGAGAUCGGAUGGGCAGUGGAUACUUCACUUUGUGUUCACAACUGAAAACAAGAGUAGACAACUUGAAUAGGAACAAUACCCUUGCACGGCUAAGAAAACCAAAACGGCCUGCGGCCACAGUAGAGUACAGUCAGCUAGAACUAUCAAGGACAUGAGCAAAAACGGACAACUAUGGCUGUAAUAACUGGCAGCCGAGCGAGCUACCUGAGGGAGAAACAAGAGUCUCUAUUUGAGAAGAAGGAGGAGCUUAAAUGCAUUUUCUCUCAAGAGGGCCACAAAGGAGCAGAUAGGGCAAGAGUGAACGAGCUGAUGAUGAUCACAUGAAGCUCAGCGUCGUGCCAUCAAUGCAGCACCUGUACUUAGUAUGCAACAGCUAAAGACUGAAUGGCCUUUCUUGUUCAUGAAGAGGUUCCUGAUGCAGCAUUUCAGUACACUUACAGGAAUUGAUCUAGAAUCGAGACUUGGGGAGUCCAUUGCUGGAAAACGAAGAAGGGUGCUCCAGUUCUUCAAGGGCCAGCUGCUGCGCUGGAAAAAAGAGGUGAGGAUAGUCCUCGCUGAUCUUGAAAGACAACCUGAAGACGUUGACCUCAGCCUUGCUCUCACAUUGGUGAUGAUGGCCUUCUUUAAAGACAGAGAAGAUUCCAUUUUCCUUCUGGCUGAUUUCAGGCAGAUGUGGAGACCCAGUUGUCCCUGUCCAACACACCAAGGAUAAUCCUACUGGGAGAUUCCAUUCUGGCAUCAAGGAAAUGGAUGUUGGCCACGGAGAGAAAGGUGGUCAUAGAAGCCACUCAUCUGCAGCUGGACUUCACCUGUGCCCUGGCUGUCCUCUUUGCAUCAUACUAUGUGUAACAUUGAGUACCAAGAAGAGGCAGCAACAACACUGGAGUUCAUCCAGAGGUUUCUCGUAAGGAUAAAUCCAGAAAAUUCAAAGUGCACAUCCAGGUUCCAUGUCAGCAAGAGCAGUGGGAAGACGGUUCAGAGGAAGACAAUGGCCCUGAAUCCACACGUGGCCUCGUUUAUCAGGGACUUCACGGAAUAUGAUUGGCAAAAUCAUUAUGGACCAUCAUAUGUGUUGGGGUCUCUGCUGCAUAUGAUGCCACCACCUACCACCAUCCUCCACAUCUGCCCCUCACCCCUAACCCUAACCCUUACCUCAUCUCUAAUGCUGCAAUUUUGUUAUUGUUCUGUG
This is a long non-coding RNA of Paramormyrops kingsleyae, 1590 nucleotides long. RefSeq lists it as uncharacterized. Lineage: Eukaryota; Metazoa; Chordata; Actinopteri; Osteoglossiformes; Mormyridae. The record is from RefSeq and is a predicted model, not a curated record.